GCUCAGAUUGAACGCUGGCGGCAGGCCUAACACAUGCAAGUCGAGCGGCAGCACGGGAAGCUUGCUUCCUGGUGGCGAGCGGCGGACGGGUGAGUAAUGCAUAGAAAUCUGCCCGGUAGUGGGGGAUAACCUGGGGAAACCCAGGCUAAUACCGCAUACGUCCUACGGGAGAAAGCAGGGGAUCUUCGGACCUUGCGCUAUCGGAUGAGUCUAUGUCGGAUUAGCUUGUUGGUGAGGUAAUGGCUCACCAAGGCGACGAUCCGUAGCUGGUCUGAGAGGAUGAUCAGCCACAUCGGGACUGAGACACGGCCCGAACUCCUACGGGAGGCAGCAGUA
This 336-nucleotide ribosomal RNA is filed under the name uncultured bacterium. Its description in RNAcentral is "bacterial SSU rRNA". It matches the Rfam family "Bacterial small subunit ribosomal RNA", at positions 22 to 356 of the family's 1533-position model. The record is from RNAcentral.